UGUAGGGUGCGAGCGUUAAUCGGAAUUACUGGGCGUAAAGUGUGCGCAGGCGGCCGAGCAAGUCGAGUGUGAAAGCCCCGAGCUUAACUUGGGAACUGCGCUCGAAACUACUUGGCUGGAGUGUGGCAGAGGAAGGUGGAAUUCCACGUGUAGCGGUGAAAUGCGUAGAGAUGUGGAGGAACACCGAUGGCGAAGGCAGCCUUCUGGGCCAACACUGACGCUCAUGCACGAAAGCGUGGGGAGCAAACAGGAUUAGAUACCCUGGUAGUCCACGCCCUAAACGAUGAUGACUAGUUGUUGGAGGAGUUAAAUCCUUUAGUAACGCAGCUAACGCGUGAAGUCAUCCGCCUGGGGAGUACGGUCGCAAGAUUA
Molecule: ribosomal RNA, 372 nt
Filed under: uncultured organism
Description: bacterial SSU rRNA
Rfam family: Bacterial small subunit ribosomal RNA
Source: RNAcentral